UGCAAGAGACUGAGCACCAAGUGGGGGCCAAGGCUCUUUAAUAGUCUGCUUUAGAGAAGGAGGUGGAAUGUUCACCACAGCACUAACCAGAGGAAGUUGUCCGCUCCUCACAGUCUUUGUGAGACUUCCGGUUGUUGCAUCUGAUGGAACAGUUUGUGACAGAGGUGACAGCUCCUGAUAAACAGCUGGUGCCCACACUAUGAAUUUAUUUGCUUCUGUAGAACACAGCCUGUGUCUCAGGGCACAGCUGCUGCUUGGACUGUGGCAGCUAUAGAGGAGUCCAGUAUGCCUGAGUCUAGGGUAAAGGAAAGGAGCUUGGUUCUUGGGCAUGAGUUCAAUUUUCCUUCUGAGCUGCUAAGAAGAAGCUAAGAUCAGUCCAUGACCUGGAUGAAGCAGAAACCAAUAGAGCUUCCUGGAGGAGAAAAUCAGCCAAGAUGCCUGGAAGAGGCAGAUGCCCCUGAACUGCAUGAAAAUGACCGAGAAGAAGUCAGAUGGAACACACUCAGGCUACCUGGAUGUCUGGAAAAGAAUCUUUCCAGUCUGUUGACCUGUGUGCAGGUUGUACUGUUCACUCCAAGUCUCCAGAUUUCAUGAGCUCUCACCCUUGCUGGGGUAAGGUUUUGGUGAUGCCACUGACUUUGAGUCAUUUUUGCUCCUAUAAGUAACCUUUCACUCAUAUUCCUGUAGAUAACCUCAAUAAAAUUUAUGGUUCACCA
RNAcentral lists this long non-coding RNA (716 nucleotides) under Rattus norvegicus (Norway rat). RNAcentral's name for it is "long non-coding RNA NONRATT016750". Lineage: Eukaryota; Metazoa; Chordata; Mammalia; Rodentia; Muridae. The record is from RNAcentral.